UGUAGACUGAUCUAUGGACUGUAAUCCGUCAAUUGAAGCUGGGAGGUGUCUAUUGUUGAAGUUGAAAGAAUGGCAAAGUCCUGAGUCACAGAAGGGACCUACGGACCGUAGAUCAAUCCACAGU
Non-coding RNA from Solanum tuberosum (potato), 124 nucleotides. The record is from RefSeq and is marked provisional. NCBI's taxonomy places the organism in Eukaryota, Viridiplantae, Streptophyta, Magnoliopsida, Solanales, Solanaceae.